AAACUUUCAACAAUGCAUCUCUUGGUUCUCGCAUCGAUGAAGAACGCAGCGAAAUGCGAUAAGUAAUAUGAAUUGCAGAA
RNAcentral lists this ribosomal RNA (80 nucleotides) under uncultured Scutellospora. Its description in RNAcentral is "partial 5.8S ribosomal RNA". It matches the Rfam family "5.8S ribosomal RNA", at positions 1 to 79 of the family's 154-position model. From Rfam's summary of the family: 5.8S ribosomal RNA (5.8S rRNA) is a component of the large subunit of the eukaryotic ribosome. It is transcribed by RNA polymerase I as part of the 45S precursor that also contains 18S and 28S rRNA. Lineage: Eukaryota; Fungi; Glomeromycota; Glomeromycetes; Diversisporales; Gigasporaceae. The record is from RNAcentral.